AUUCCCUCUGAGACUCAGUUGUACCGGGCUCUGAUGCUUCACAAGGGAGAUCAAGAGCAGGAAGCAGGGGUAGGGGAGAGUUGGUUGCCUAGGAAGAAACUCAUCCCGAUCACUCAGGCAUUAACCACUCCUGGGAAACAUUUUCAGGCCAUGCCGUAGAGAGAUGAGAUGAAGAAUCAAUCAGAUCCAGGCAAUGAAACUGGAAAGAGAAGUCAAGAAGGGCAGAGAAGAAGCAGGAAGAUCGGCAUGGUCAGCAGUAUCCAAGACAGCUGAGAGAGGCCGAGGAAGAGUAUGAGAGAGUAGAGCCUAUUGGACUUCGAUGAGCUCAUUGGACUCCCCCAGUAUGGAAGGGGAAAUUAAUCUCGGGGAAGUGAAGUCAGUAAACCGCUGAUUUUGAUGGGUCAAGAAGAGAGUCGAUGGAGGAGAAGUGAGCAGACAUCUCAUUCAAGGAACUUCCAUCAAUCUGUUUAUAUAUU
This is a long non-coding RNA of Ornithorhynchus anatinus (platypus), 476 nucleotides long. RefSeq lists it as uncharacterized. The transcript has 3 exons. The record is from RefSeq and is a predicted model, not a curated record. Lineage: Eukaryota; Metazoa; Chordata; Mammalia; Monotremata; Ornithorhynchidae.